Helianthus annuus (common sunflower) is the source of this 467-nucleotide long non-coding RNA. RefSeq lists it as uncharacterized. NCBI's taxonomy places the organism in Eukaryota, Viridiplantae, Streptophyta, Magnoliopsida, Asterales, Asteraceae. The record is from RefSeq and is a predicted model, not a curated record. The transcript has 3 exons.
AGCAAACAAGGGGGGGAGCAAGAGGAUGAACCCUAGUUCACCAAAUUCACAAGAAUUAAGUGAAAUCUUGAGAAAAAUUGAAGGUGUAAACAACGAAUUCUAGGCUCCUACAUCUGUUCUUCGAAUUGGCAUAAAGGAAGAAGAUUCAAGCUCUAAGAAGUCGGAAGGCCCUCAGGAUCGAGGUAAAACUCCACUUUAGGUGAUUUGGAGAUAUGGAGCGAGCACGUGUUCACGCCUUAUUAUACCAAGCGCUUCUGCUAGUUUAUAUGCACACUUUUUGGGUCCAUGUCUUGUUACUUUGUUUGAUCUUGUUAGAAGUCAUACACUUAAAAAAAACUUGUUGUCUUCGUUUUAGGAAGUUUAAAGUUUAAAUGGGUCGUAGAUUGUCGUUAGUUUAUUAUGUUAAAAACAGGGGGCACGUUCGUUGAACGAACGGGUCAUGCCCAAUUUUUGUAAAAAUAUUAAUU